This 597-nucleotide unclassified non-coding RNA is filed under the name Hevea brasiliensis (rubber tree). Lineage: Eukaryota; Viridiplantae; Streptophyta; Magnoliopsida; Malpighiales; Euphorbiaceae. The record is from RNAcentral.
AAGAAAACAAAAUUUUGAGAAAAACGUAUUAGAAAACUCAGUCCCUAAGAUGCUCUUAAAAAUUGCAACCAUAACCACAAAUCAUUACAGAUCUGUGCAACUCAUCACUGCUCUGUCUAAUGUCCCAUAAAAUAAGAUAAAAUUGAAAUGUAAAUAUCAAAAAUAGAUGCACUGGAGUUGACAUUCCCAUAUCAAAAAAAAUAAAAAAUAAAAAGUAGAGGGACAGAUUUAAAAAAUCAACAAAAAUAAAGUACUGAACCUCUACCAGUAAAAGUUCAUCAAACAUCAUCCAAAAAUAAUUCCUCCAGUUACCCACUUAUGAACCUAUACAAUAUAGACAUACGCAUUUAAAUAAAAACAUAUUUAUAAGUACUAAUUAAAAAGCAUUUUCAUGAUGUCCAAAUUUAACACAAACACAGCCUUGGAUAGCAAGGGAAACAACUUUUUCGGCUUCAAAGAUAAAAGCAUUAAUUAAUUAAACUUGGUAUAAGGCUGCAAGCUUGAAAUAAAUAAAAGAUGAAGCCAUAACAGUUUACCCAAAAGUCUCGAUGCAUAAAGAAAUAUACAUUUUUGGAACUCAGUCCCUUAGAUGUUCAU